GGACAGUUAGUAUAGUGGCUAGUAUCACCCCCUGUCAUGGGGUAGACCUGGUUUCAAUUCCCUGACUGGAAG
This is a non-coding RNA of Zopfochytrium polystomum, 72 nucleotides long. The record is from the annotation of a GenBank genome assembly. NCBI's taxonomy places the organism in Eukaryota, Fungi, Chytridiomycota, Chytridiomycetes, Chytridiales, Chytridiaceae.